This is a long non-coding RNA of Brassica napus (rape), 778 nucleotides long. RefSeq lists it as uncharacterized. The transcript is spliced from 4 exons. The record is from RefSeq and is a predicted model, not a curated record. Lineage: Eukaryota; Viridiplantae; Streptophyta; Magnoliopsida; Brassicales; Brassicaceae.
AGAAUAAAUUAUAUAUCUACUUUACAAAAAUAAUAAUAGAAAAGAAGUAAUACAAAUUCAUGAAAAUCUAUACCAAUCUAAAAAUGUUAUGAUCAAAUUUCAUGAGUCAAUGUAUAUAUAUCGACUUUUUUAAAUCUAUCAACUCCUAAAAUUCACAUAAUCUAUACAAAUUUACCUCUCAAUAACCCCCUUAACUCUAUUGACCCCCCCCUAACUCUAUUGAUCGGGAAAAAGAAGCCCUAAGACAAACAAGGCGAGAGAGAUAUCCAAAUCCUCCAAUUAUUGGGCUUUCAUCUGUAACUUUCCCGUAAUGGCCUUUUCUUUUCUUUUUUCCGUUUCUUGACGGAGAAGUUUCUUGACGGAGAAAUGGAACAAAAUAAAUAUAGGGUUUGACUCGAACCGUUUGAGAGAGUUACCUGAAAAAGUGAAAGGCUGAAAGGGGAUCGUGAAGACAAAACAAGCGCGAGGCCAGAGAGCAAGAUGCCUAGAACUACACGCGGCGCGGAACAACGAAGGCUCCAGUGUCUACAAGACAUCCAAAAUUUGCAAGAGGAGAUCAAGUUGUUACAGAUUUCAAACGAGAAACUGAAUGGUGUCGGUCUCGACGAUAUGAGCUUCACCGAGCUGGCUUCACUUGGAAGUAUGUUGGAUGAGGGCCAGAGCCGGCCUUGGAGGUAAGCGGGAGAAGCGGCUGCUUCCAGCCGUCAUUAAAUUAUCAAGUUUAGCGGCCACAUUUUUACAAUAUUUAUCCAGUAGCUCCAGUGGUAAUGGUGAAAUU